GGCCAGUUGGCUCAGUUGGUUAUAGAGCACUGUGCUCAUAACACCGAGGUCAUGGGUUCGAUUCCCACAUGGGCCA
Molecule: non-coding RNA, 76 nt
Organism: Rhinolophus ferrumequinum (greater horseshoe bat)
Lineage: Eukaryota; Metazoa; Chordata; Mammalia; Chiroptera; Rhinolophidae
Source: the annotation of a RefSeq genome assembly